Molecule: RNA transcript, 1726 nt
Organism: Ananas comosus (pineapple)
Lineage: Eukaryota; Viridiplantae; Streptophyta; Magnoliopsida; Poales; Bromeliaceae
Gene name: ultraviolet-B receptor UVR8-like
Exons: 9
Source: RefSeq, a predicted model, not a curated record
UAGUUUUCAACAGAAAGCUAGCCCAAUCAAUGAUGGGUUAAAAUGAAUACUGUGUAGAGAACCUUCAACAAUUUAGCCAUGGACAAAGAAUAGAAGAACAGUAAGAAGACAGAGGAAAACAAUGACAUCAUUUUGUAGUUUGGCAUUAUUGUAGAUCUAUUUAACAGGAAAAAGUGUUCCUAUGACAUGGUCCAUGCUCGUGCCUAUUGGAUGGAGGCUGAAGAGAGCAAUUCAUCAUCCAAUGUGCUUGUACAGCGAGAAAAAAAUAUAAAACAAUACAUGUAUUUCAUUUGAAUUAUGAUAUAGUAUAAAGCUAUGUAUUUGUUUUUAGAGAAAUUAUAUCAUAUCUUGCUGUUUUUUUGCCAAUAAAAUCUCCUAAGUUUUCUGGUUUAUCCGGUUAUAGUAUGUUGUUUCUCAUGACAAACGUGUUUGGUGUUUUCAAUUCUUUCUGCUCAGAUGAAGGCCACCUGUUUAUGUGUGGAGAUAAUUCAUUUGGUCAGCUUGGGACAGGAGAUAAUCAGUCAUAUAACCUCCCUGUUGAAGUAUUAUUCUUCGCUUCAAAGCAUGUUGAACAGAUAGCAUGUGGGAUGCGACACACUCUUGCCUUGGUCACUGGUGAUUUAGUCUAUGGGUUUGGUUCUGCUAGACAUGGGCAAAUUGGCAAUUCUGUGUCUAAGCCUCAAAAAUCAUGUAAUCUUCCUGAAGUAAUUCAAGGAUUUGGGAGCUGCAAAAUAGUGGGUCUUUUCGCCAAUGGAGAUCACAGUGCUGCAUUGACUGCUAAUGGAGAGUUAUACAUCUGGGGAAGAGGAUUCAGUGGGGCUUCCAAUGACCUUCACCCUCGUCUUCUGCAUUCAUCCUUGAGGAUUUCUCAAGUUGCAUUGGGAUGGCAUCAUGCCAUAGUACUAGCUGAUGGUGAAGUAUAUAUGCUUGGUGGAUACCGUCAUUGGGCAGCAAGUGGUUCCCAUGUAGUGAAUCCUGUGCGGCAUCAAUCAGUUCCAUCUGCUCCAUGUGCUGCUGUCUCAGAUGUGCGGACGCUAGAGAAGGUAUCUUGUCUUGAUGGGGAGCGAGUAGUGCAAAUUGCUGCAGGCGCUGAGCAUUCUGCCCUACUAACAGAGCGAGGAAAGAUCAUGACAUGGGGCUGGGGGGAGCAUGGCCAGCUUGGUUUGGGAAACACGGACGAUCAGACAUUUCCACAAAUAGUCAACAUACCCAACAGGAGAUCUUUUGCUUCUACUCUAGGCAUAUAUUGUGAAUGCAGAAUCCAGCGUGACAAACGGUGUAGACUAUAUUUCUGAAGAAGAAGAUGCUUGGUGACAUUGGAACCGUUGAAGAAGACACAUCAGUCAUUAUUUCAGAGAACAGCGGAGACAGAGCGGAGGCGGCCUGCUUCAAUUUUGUCCGGUGCAUCCUUACCCUCGCCCGCACACCCCCCACCUUCCUCGCCUCCGACCCCGCCAAGGCCGCGCCGCGACUCUUUUUUUUUUUUCCUCUCCGACUCUCCUCUACCGUCUCCGACGACGACGCCUCUCUCACCCUUCCCCAUCCUUCUCGUCCUCUCCCUCUCCCUUCUCCUUUGCCGCCUCUAACGACGACGCAUAUUCGCCGACGCCAACACCAUGGAGGUCACUGCGGGGUUGCAGCCUCGGAGCGGGGGGGUCCUUAGCGGUGUCGUCGCCAGCGCUGUGGCCGUUGGCAGAGAGGGGUGAUCAAAAAAAAUUAUAAAAGA